This 387-nucleotide ribosomal RNA is filed under the name uncultured eukaryote. RNAcentral describes it as "SSU rRNA". It matches the Rfam family "Eukaryotic small subunit ribosomal RNA", at positions 587 to 972 of the family's 1831-position model. The record is from RNAcentral.
AGCUCCAAUAGCGUAUAUUAAAGUUGUUGCAGUUAAAAAGCUCGUAGUUGAAUUUCGGGAUUGACACAUCGGUCGUGCCUUAAGGGGUAUGAACUGGUGUAGUCAAUUUCUCACCUUCUGGAGAACCGCGAUGCCCUUAAUUGGGUGUCACGGGGAACCAGGACCUUUACUUUGAAAAAAUUAGAGUGUUUAAAGCAGGCAUUUUGCUUGAAUACAUUAGCAUGGAAUAAUAAAAUAGGACGGCAUGAUUCUAUUUUGUUGGUUUCUAGGAUCACCGUAAUGAUUAAUAGGGAUAGUUGGGGGCAUUAGUAUUCAAUUGUCAGAGGUGAAAUUCUUGGAUUUAUUGAAGACUAACUACUGCGAAAGCAUUUGCCAAGGAUGUUUUCA